GGGGCUUGUUGGGUGGGUGUGGGACUGGGAUUCAGGGCGGGGUGGCCUGCCUGCAGCUGCACAUGGCCGCCGCCAGUGGGUUCAGUGAGGCAGCUGCCCUGCUGCUGGAGCAUGGAGCCAGCCUGACUGCCAAGGACCUCGACGGCUGGGAGCCGCUGCACGCUGCCGCCUACUGGGGACAGGUGAGUGUGGUCAGGAGCAGAUGCUGAGCGGGCUCUUGGCUGCGGCUCAAGCCCUCAGCAGCCCCCACUGGCUGGCCUGCAGGUGCACCUGGUGGAGCUGCUUGUGGCAAACGGGGCCGACCUGAAUGGGAGAUCCCUGACGGAUGAGACACCCCUUGGUGAGCUCCAGGGCUGCCUCCACCUGGGGGAAGGGACAGGCAGGGAGGGCCCCUGUGACGCUUGUGGUCAUCUCUCAGAUGUCUGUGGUGAUGAGGAGGUGCGGGCCAGGCUGCUGCAGCUGAAGCAGAAGCAGGAGGCACUCUUGCGAGCCCAGGGCCGCCAGCGCUCCCUGCUGCGCCGCCGCGCCUCCAGUGCAGGCAGCCGCGGGUGAGCUGCCCCACAGUCCAUGCCCAGCCCCCACCCCGGCUGUGCCUCAGGAUGGAUGGGAUGUCAGCCUGCAGGUGGAGCUGCCAGCACAACUAGGCCGGGUCUGAGGGACAGCUGGUGUCCCCUCUCACCUCCACCACACCCCGGCCUUCCAGGAAAGUGGUGAGGCGAGUGAGCCUGACCCAGCGCACCGACCUGUACCGCCAGGAGCAUGCCCAGGAGGCCAUCGUGUGGCAGCAGCCACCACCCCCAAGUCCAGAGCCGCUGGAGGAGGAUGAGGACCACCAGACAGACGCAGAGCUCUGGCUGCCACCCCCAGAGGUGAGAGUCCUGGCCUUGUGCUACCCACCUUCCACGUGGCUUUGGCAUGGGUCCUAGGCUGUGACCUGGCAUCAGUAUGUGAGUUUCCCAUUCACACUGGUCCAGUGUGGAGCUGGGAGGACCAGUGACCUUGUGCCCCUAGGUGGGCCAUGCUCCUCAGGGCUGGGCUGUUGUCCCCCUGCCCCUCACGGUUGUUCUUCUACAACCAGGUAGCCUAGAUCCUGAGGCCAGGGCAAGUAAGAGGAGCUGCCUCCUGACAGCCUUGGGCCCUGAUUCUGCCCACAGGAAGAUGACCCUGAGGUGGCCAGGUCCCACAAUGGCCGAGUAGGGGGCCCCCCAGGGCGGCACCUAUACUCCAAGCGGCUGGACCGGAGUGUGUCGUACCAGCUGAGCCCUGUGGAGAGUACCACCCCAGACACCCUUGUCCGGGACAAGGCCCACCACACCUUGGCCGAACUCAAACGCCAGCGGGCUGCUGCCAAGCUCCUGCGACCACAGCCUGAGGGGCCUGAGGCCCCUGAAUCUGGCUUGUCUGCUGACCCCGUGUCCUCCCAGCCGGACUGCGGCUUCAGGGCAGGCGGGGACCCACCCCUGCUCAAGCUCACAGCCCCAUCUGAGGAGGCCCCGAUGGAGAAGAGGCCAUGCUGCUUGCUCAUGUGAGGGGCUGUACCCAUUUCCAGGCCAGCCCGAGGCUUGCCCUGGAGGCCCACUCAGGGUGUGCCCUGGAACUGCAGGUGGGCAGACACCAGAGUCUUCCCCAGCUUCUACCCCUCAGGACAGUGGACUCUCUGUUGGGGAUGGACUUUAGGCAGAGCCGUAUCUGCAGGCAUCUGCUGCAGAGUGUUUGUCCUGUGACGCUUGAUAAAGGGGUGUUUGUCGUCAAGCCUUCCAGUGUCUCCGCUGGGGAGGGGCAGGCGGUGCUGCUGGACAGGUGCCGCCCAUGCCCUCGAGCAAGCACUCAGGCCUGUAGGUGCGUGCUGGGGCUCGCAAGUAGAGGCCUGGCCCCUGUGUGGGAGGGAGGCCCAAGGGCCACUGGGCAAGAAGCCUGGCCUUCCCCACACCCUCCCUGCCAUAUUCGACUUCCUGGAAGCACUGUUAACUCUUUGUUUUCCUGAGGGCAGUAGGGUACUUCAGAAGGAAGCUCUUUUCGGGCCAGAGCUGAGGGGGACCAUACCAAGGGGCAGGAGUCCUGACCUGCCAAGGGAGGGCGUAUUUUUUCCAGGAUUCCUGGGCCAGAGCCAGUAGAGCAAAUCUGGCACGGCCGGCAUCAGGCACUUCCCAGGGGCAGUGGUUCCCCAAUUCGUGGCCUGUUGCCCUGAUCCUGGGCCCUGGCUGACAACUUGUGCCUGGGCUGGUGUAGGUGACAAGCACUUGGCCACUCAGGCGCCGAGCUGGCUGGGUACAAUGUGUAAGGAUGAAGGGGCCCUUAGGGGACUCAAGCUGGAGGGCUGAGGGCACUGCCAGAUCAUCUCUCUGUCCACAGUAGGCAGCCCUGCAUGGCCACCCGCACUGGGUGGUAUGAGUUUAGGCUACCCUCCUCUCCUUGCUGGGUACUGACCUGGUCUGCUCAGUGUCCAGGGCCCGCCUGCCCUUCUAGCAUCUGUGGUUGGAGGGUUGCUGCCCUUAGCAGGUCUGGGGGAGGGCCAGGGGCUAGCUGCUGGUUAAAUUUAGUGAGUGGGGCGGUACCUCUGCCUAAGGUCCACCUACCACCACAGCUGCCACUUGGGCCCUGAUGCCAGAAGUCAGGCAGUGGCUGGCUCUGACUGGGGCCGGGCUCAUAUUAACCUGUCCUCUGAUGUGAGGGCCAAAGGACAGGCCUGUGAAUUGGGAGGCCAUUGUGGCAGCAGAACUGAGAGGUGCAAGUUGAGAGAGGUAUGUGUGUGUGUGUCUGUGUGCAUGUGUGCGCGCGCGUGCAUUCCCCACUUAGAACUCCUGGUGGCUUCUCUCCCAAUCUGCAGAAACAGAGGAGCCAAGGCUCCCCUUCCGUCUAACCAGCUGCUACUGCCCAGCUCAGAGGGCUGGCUUCCCGACUGUCAGUUCACCCUUGGAUCUGGCUGGCCUGGCAGCCUGCAGAGGCAAACCCUGGGAAUGGCCUGUGAGCCUGUGGAGGUGGGGUUCUGGGGGCCUAUUGCAGUUUACUUCCUGCUCUCUCCACCAAUCAGGAAGGAGGGAAGGUGACAGGCUACCCACCCCCAUGGCUGGGGUGUGGCCCCAAGGGCAACCCCAGGCUCCUGUGUGUUGAAAGGGUAUGAGGGCCACCUGGGGCAAGGGGUUCGCCUGCCCUGUCUGCAGCCCUCCUCCUCCCUCCAGCCCCUUGCAAUGCUGAUCAGGGACCAAGGUCCAGCUGCAGUGUUCUUGUAGUCUCUGGGCCAUGGCCAUUGCCCUGGUGGAACUCAGAGUCUCUACUCCUCACUCGUCCCCCCCAGCCCCCCCAGCAUUCCUAAGGUCUGGCUGUCACCUAGGAGACAGGUCUGUCUGCUGGCCUAAGAAAAGAUGGGGGUGCCAAGAGGGCUAGGCCUCAGCAGUGCCCUGCUGAGGUAAAUCCAGUGGCUACUGGCUGCAGUCUCACCUUAGGGGUCACCCCUACCCAACUCUGCCAACCUCUCAGGUCCACUAGGCCCAGGCAUUGAGCCCUUCCCUCCCCCAACACCAAGGCCGUCUCUCCCUACCCCCCAUGUGGGUCUCCUGCGCUCCUGUCAUGGGGACACUGGGCGGGCACUGGGACUCACCCCAAGCCCCGCCUGCUGCCUCACCCACGCCCUCUGCCUCCCUGGGGCAGAACUGUGCCCAGACUAUGGGGUGGAGCCGAGGCGGCUCCAGCUCCUGCAGCCCUUUCUGUCCCUUUCAUUGGAGCCAGUAGGCUGCAGUGAAGCGGGUGUCCUCUUACGUUGAGCUCCCAAGCCUGGACCCUGCUGCCCCCACCACCACCUCUGGGCCUGCCACCUCCUGAGCCACCUUCCUGCCUGAUCUGAGCAGAGUCAUGGCCUUGAGAGUAGGUGACCAGAGCCGGGCUGCACGGAAUGGGCUGAGGGAGAAGGUGCUGACACUGGACUCCAUGAACCCGUGUGUGCGCAAGGUGGAGUACGCCGUGCGUGGCCCCAUAGUGCUGCGGGCCUUGGAGCUGGAGCAGGAGCUGCGCCAGGUACGGUCCCGAGGCCCUGCUACCCUCCUGCUGUUCCUGGGCUACUAGAUCAGCCUCUGGCCCAGUGGCACUUGGGACUAGGGCUGUGGGGGUAAUGGUGCCCAAUCUGGCUGCCUUCUCCCUUUCCCUCCCAGGGUGUGAAGAAACCCUUCACCGAGGUCAUCCGUGCCAACAUUGGAGAUGCACAGGCCAUGGGGCAGAGGCCCAUCACUUUCUUCCGCCAGGUGAGGCUCCUGUACUGCCUGUGUCCCCUGGCUCCAGCCAUCAGUGUGCCCUGACCUCAUCAUUCCGUCCGCCCAGGUCUUGGCCCUCUGUGUCCACCCAGAUCUCUUGCACAGCCCUGACUUCCCUGAGGAUGCCAAACGAAGGGCUCAGCGCAUCUUGCAGGCAUGCGGGGGCCACAGCCUGGGUGAGUGCUGGUGCCAGGCGGGGACCAAGCCCCAGGAAGAAGCAGAGAAGGGUGGAUCUCUUGGGAGGGUUGCGGGAGGACUAGCCACUUUCAUGGGUCUGCUCUGCUCUGCUUGCCGGAGUCCAGGGGCCUAUAGCAUCAGCUCUGGCAUCCAGCUGAUCCGUGAGGAUGUUGCACGGUACAUCGAGAGGCGAGAUGGAGGCAUCCCUGCUGACCCCAACAACAUCUUCCUGUCCACGGGUGCCAGUGAUGCCAUCGUGGUAGGCUGGGCCACGGCAGGACACAAUGGCUCUUCAACUGUGGUUCCACAGGGCAGGGGACGGGUGCAGCCCCUUGGCCCUGCCAACACUGCGCUCCUCCCCCUGCCCACAGACGGUGCUGAAGCUGCUGGUGGCUGGUGAGGGCCGCCGGCGUACAGGCGUGCUCAUCCCUGUCCCGCAGUACCCGCUCUACUCGGCCACUCUGGCCGAACUGGACGCUGUGCAGGUGGACUACUACCUGGAUGAGGAGCGCACUUGGGCACUCGAUGUGGCUGAGCUGCGGCGCAGGCUGUCUCAAGCACGUGACCACUGCUGCCCACGCGCGCUCUGCGUGAUCAACCCCGGCAACCCCACCGGUGCGCCACCUCCCUGCCCCACCUACCCUGACCCCUCCAGCUGCUACAUGCUCCUAGGCCUACCACAAUGGGUCAGUCAACCCCCACUGUCCAGAUGAGCAGGGGUGGGGUGGUGGGUGCCCGCAGUUGACCCUGGCCGCGCUGCUGUCCCCAGGGCAGGUGCAGACCCGGGAGUGCAUCGAGGCUGUGAUCCGCUUCGCAUUCGAAGAGGGACUCUUUCUGAUGGCUGAUGAGGUGCUUACAGGGAUGCGCAAGGGAGGGUGGCUGCGGGUCAGCGGCCGGCCGCGUGACGACAGCGCCCCUGCAGGUGUACCAGGACAACGUGUACGCAGAGGGCUCGCGCUUCUACUCCUUCAAGAAGGUGCUCACCGAGAUGGGCCCACCGUACUCCACGCAGCAGGAGCUUGCCUCCUUCCACUCAGCCUCCAAGGGCUACAUGGGCGAGUGCGUGUGGGCCGGUGGCGGGGGGGGGUUCUUGGACUCCAGCCACUUUCCUGCCCCCUUCUUCCCGGCUGGGCCUCGACCUUGACGCCUGCCCUACCUGGCAGGUGCGGGUUCCGCGGUGGCUACGUGGAGGUGGUGAACAUGGACCCCGAAGUGCAGCGGCAGAUGCUGAAGCUGAUGAGUGUGCGGCUGUGCCCGCCUGUGCCGGGCCAGGCCCUGCUGGACAUGGUGGUCAGCCCGCCAGCACCCUCUGACCCCUCCUUUGCGCAGUUCCAGGAGGUGAGGGAAAUGAGGCCAAGGGCAUCUGGCGAGCCAGUUGGGAAAAGGAUUGAGGGCUAUUGUGUCCCUGCCAUGCCCUGAUUGUCCCCUCCGUGGCUGCAGGAGAGGCAAAUGGUGCUAGCUGAGCUGGCGGCCAAGGCCAAGCUCACGGAGCAGGUCUUCAAUGAAACUCCUGGCAUCAGAUGCAACCCAGUGCAGGGUGCCAUGUACUCCUUCCCUCGAGUGCAGCUGCCCCCCCGGGCGGUCCAGCUUGCUCAGGUCUGGUGGGGCAGGGCAGGGUGGGGCGGAGGCCUGGGCAUAGAGCUCUGACCGCCCUCCACACCGCAGGAGCUCGGCCUGGCCCCAGACAUGUUCUUCUGCCAGCGCCUCCUGGAGGAGACCGGAAUCUGCGUGGUGCCUGGGAGCGGCUUUGGGCAACUGGAGGGCACCUAUCACUUCCGGUGAGACCAGGCCCGCACAGCCUGCCAGUGCCUGCUGUGCCCCCUUUGGCUUAUAGCUUGCCCUUUCCAGGAUGACCAUCCUGCCCCCCAUGGAGAAGCUUCGACUGCUGCUGGAGAAGCUGAGCCGUUUUCAUGCCAAGUUCACCCGGGAGUACUCCUGAGGCCACCACAGGGACCAGGCUGGGCUGCCUGGACUGACUUUGCCCAGGGACCUGGUGGUCUCUGGACCCCUCAGAACUUGCUGCUGCCCCUUGGGGGCUGGGCAUCUCUCUCUGCCAGUUCCUAAUAAAGCUGAGUGUGGUUAUGACUCUGGAGGGGUGAGCCCCACUUCCAUGGGUGAUGACUCC
RNAcentral lists this long non-coding RNA (6546 nucleotides) under Marmota monax (woodchuck). The record is from RNAcentral. Lineage: Eukaryota; Metazoa; Chordata; Mammalia; Rodentia; Sciuridae.